UGGGGAAUAUUGCACAAUGGGGGAAACCCUGAUGCAGCCAUGCCGCGUGUGUGAAGAAGGCCUUCGGGUUGUAAAGCACUUUCAGCGAGGAGGAAAGGUUGAUGCCUAAUACGCAUCAGCUGUGACGUUACUCGCAGAAGAAGCACCGGCUAACUCCGUGCCAGCAGCCGCGGUAAUACGGAGGGUGCAAGCGUUAAUCGGAAUUACUGGGCGUAAAGCGCACGCAGGCGGUCUGUUAAGUCAGAUGUGAAAUCCCCGGGCUCAACCUGGGAACUGCAUUUGAAACUGGCAGGCUUGAGUCUUGUAGAGGGGGGUAGAAUUCCAGGUGUAGCGGUGAAAUGCGUAGAGAUCUGGAGGAAUACCGGUGGCGAAGGCGGCCCCCUGGACAAAGACUGACGCUCAGGUGCGAAAGCGUGGGGAGCAAACA
This 427-nucleotide ribosomal RNA is filed under the name uncultured bacterium. RNAcentral describes it as "bacterial SSU rRNA". It matches the Rfam family "Bacterial small subunit ribosomal RNA", at positions 355 to 774 of the family's 1533-position model. The record is from RNAcentral.